UCCUGCGGAUGCGCUUGCGCGUCAGGAAGCUCAGGCCCUGGAUGAGGUCGCGCAGGCCGCGGGGUAGGCAGGACUUGUAGCUGCGGUGGACCCGGCCUCAGUGCCAGGGCAGACAUCACCAGCUGACCACAGCUCCAGUCCGCCUGACACCUCCACGUCUCCCUGGCAGCCAGCCCAUCCCACCCAAGGCAGGAAUGAGCAGUUGAUCACAGAUCCACCAAUUUCCCCGACCAGGAACGGAAAAGAUUAGAGAGUCAAACAGUCUGUUUGACUAAGAUGGUAGAUCCUGGAUGGUGCAGCGCCAGGAGACAGCUACGGUACGUGUGC
Non-coding RNA from Heterocephalus glaber (naked mole-rat), 327 nucleotides. The record is from RefSeq and is a predicted model, not a curated record. NCBI's taxonomy places the organism in Eukaryota, Metazoa, Chordata, Mammalia, Rodentia, Bathyergidae.